Long non-coding RNA from Pecten maximus, 684 nucleotides. RefSeq lists it as uncharacterized. NCBI's taxonomy places the organism in Eukaryota, Metazoa, Mollusca, Bivalvia, Pectinida, Pectinidae. The transcript is spliced from 3 exons. The record is from RefSeq and is a predicted model, not a curated record.
AUGUAUACUUAUCAAUCUUUAUAUGGAUAUUGAUCAUUGACAAUGCUUUAGAUAAAGGGUCCCCUUCUUAUAUAUAAAAGCAUCGUUACAGCAUAUUUCAAUGCGACAAAGGUCUCGUAGGAAACAUUCGUCACAUUUUUAUAAGCAAGAUGAAGGGCCUUAUAGUUAUCCUCUCCGUGUUGUGCUUGAUGGUAGCACAGAUUGAAGCCCGGAGAACGGGAUUGCUCGCUGGAUUAGCUCUAGGAUAUGUAGGUUCGAGGCUGCUCAACAGGGGAGGGUAUGGUAGAUUCCACGGUGGAUACCACGGUGGAUACCACGGUGGAUACCACGGUGGAUACCAUGGCGGAUAUAUGACACACGACCCGUAUCAUCAUCACCACCACUACCCAAGCUACGGCUACCCACUCCAUGGUAUGGUCGGAGGCGGUCUUGGUGGCCUUGGUGGCGGCUUUGGUGGCCUUGGUGGCGGCUUUGGUGGCCUUGGUGGCCUUGGUGGCCUUGGUGGCGGCUUUGGCGGCUUUGGUGGCUUUUUUUAGAGAAUUAUCUGGUAUUCGCCAAACCUUCCUGUGACCAUCAAAACCAUUUUGUUGAAGUGUGAACCAUCUGUCGGUGUGUCGACCUAUGUCCUUUGAGUCAUUAGAUUUAGAAAUUGCCAUUCACAUAAAGUUUUUAUUAAAAUGCAAA